GGUGCUAAUACCGGGUAUACUGCAUAGAUCGCAUGUUUUUUGCAGGAAAGCGGGCCCCUGGAACAAGCUCGUGCUGAUAGAUAGACCUGCGUCCCAUUAGUUAGUUGGUAGGGUAACGGCCUACCAAGGCAGCGAUGGGUAGCCGGCCUGAGAGGGUGACCGGCCACACUGGGACUGAGAUACGGCCCAGACUCCUACGGGAGGCAGCAGUGAGGAAUAUUGCGCAAUGGACGAAAGUCUGACGCAGCAACGCCGCGUGAGGGAUGAAGCUUUUCGGAGUGUAAACCUCUGUUAGGAGGGAAGAACGUCUAUUAUUCGAACAGGGUGAUAGAGUGACGGUACCUCCAGAGAAAGCCCCGGCUAACUCCGUGCCAGCAGCCGCGGUAAUACGGGGGGGGCGAACGUUGUCCGGAAUUAUUGGGCGUAAAGGGCGCGUAGGCGGGAAGGUCAGUCAGAGGUGAAAGCUUGUGGCUUAACUGCAAGUUUGCCUUUGAUACUGCCAUUCUUGAGUUCGGAAGAGGGAAGUGGAAUUCCUGGUGUAGCGGUGAAAUGCGUAGAUAUCAGGAAGAACACCGGUGGCGAAGGCGGCUUCCUGGUCCGAUACUGACGCUGAUGCGCGAAAGCGUGGGGAGCAAAUAGGAUUAGAUACCCUGGUAGUCCACGCUGUAAACGAUGGGUACUAGGUGUUGGGUUUAAUUACUCAGCGCCGGAGCUAACGCAUUAAGUACCCCGCCUGGGGAGUACGAUCGCAAGAUUGAAACUCAAAGGAAUUGACGGGGGCCCGCACAAGCGGUGGAGCAUGUGGUUUAAUUCGAUGCAACGCGAAGAACCUUACCUGGGCUUGAACUGUAGGUGACGUAUCCUGAAAGGGAUAUUCUCUUCGGAGCACCUAUAGAGGUGCUGCAUGGCUGUCGUCAGCCCGUGCCGUGAGGUGUUGGGUUAAGUCCCGCAACGAGCGCAACCCCUGUUCCUAGUUGCCAGCAUUUAAGGUGGGAACUCUAGGGAGACUGCCCCGGACAACGGGGAGGAAGGUGGGGAUGACGUCAAGUCAUCAUGGCCCUUACGUCCAGGGCUACACACGUGCUACAAUGGCCGGUACAACGGGAAGCAAAGCUGCAAAGUGGAGCGGAUCCCUUAAAACCGGUCUCAGUUCGGAUUGUAGUCUGCAACUCGACUGCAUGAAGUCGG
This 1188-nucleotide ribosomal RNA is filed under the name uncultured organism. RNAcentral's name for it is "bacterial SSU rRNA". It matches the Rfam family "Bacterial small subunit ribosomal RNA", at positions 159 to 1329 of the family's 1533-position model. The record is from RNAcentral.